This 253-nucleotide ribosomal RNA is filed under the name uncultured bacterium. RNAcentral describes it as "partial 16S ribosomal RNA". It matches the Rfam family "Bacterial small subunit ribosomal RNA", at positions 524 to 776 of the family's 1533-position model. The record is from RNAcentral.
UACAGAGGUCCCAAGCGUUGUUCGGAUUCACUGGGCGUAAAGGGUGCGUAGGUGGUCGGGUAAGUCUGAUGUGAAAUCUCUGGGCUCAACCCAGAAAUGGCAUUGGAUACUAUCCAGCUAGAGGAGUGGAGGGGGGACUGGAAUACUUGGUGUAGCAGUGAAAUGCGUAGAUAUCAAGUGGAACACCAGUGGCGAAGGCGAGUCCCUGGACACUUCCUGACACUGAGGCACGAAAGCUAGGGGAGCAAACAGG